This is a long non-coding RNA of Branchiostoma belcheri (Belcher's lancelet), 222 nucleotides long. RefSeq lists it as uncharacterized. The record is from RefSeq and is a predicted model, not a curated record. The transcript is spliced from 3 exons. Lineage: Eukaryota; Metazoa; Chordata; Leptocardii; Amphioxiformes; Branchiostomatidae.
GUCUGCACGACACAACCGCGAAUUUCAAGAGCGACUAGACUGCCUGUUGUCUCGUCUACGCUUUCCUACAACUCUCAGAUUCUUCGCAACAUGGAGAAACCCUACAGAUGUGAGGAGUGCAGCAAGCAGUUCAGUCACCUGGGUGAUUUAAAGGACCACAUCCGAACUCACACUGGUGAGAAACCCUACAGAUGUGAGGAGUGCAGCAGGCAGUUCAGUCGG